ACGGGUGAGUAACGCGUGGGAAUCUACCCAGAUCUUCGGAACAACUGAGGGAAACUUCAGCUAAUACCGGAUACGCCCUACGGGGGAAAGAUUUAUCGGUUCUGGAUGAGCCCGCGUUGGAUUAGCUAGUUGGUGAGGUAAUGGCUCACCAAGGCGACGAUCCAUAGCUGGUCUGAGAGGAUGAUCAGCCACACUGGGACUGAGACACGGCCCAGACUCCUACGGGAGGCAGCAGUGGGGAAUAUUGGACAAUGGGCGAAAGCCUGAUCCAGCCAUGCCGCGUGAGUGAUGAAGGCCUUAGGGUUGUAAAGCUCUUUCAGUAGGGAAGAUAAUGGCGGUACCUACAGAAGAAGCCCCGGCUAACUUCGUGCCAGCAGCCGCGGUAAUACGAAGGGGGCUAGCGUUGUUCGGAUUUACUGGGCGUAAAGCGCACGUAGGCGGAUCGUUAAGUCGGGGGUGAAAUCCUGGAGCUCAACUCCAGAACUGCCUUCGAUACUGGCGAUCUUGAGUCCGGAAGAGGUGAGUGGAACUCCUAGUGUAGAGGUGGAAUUCGUAGA
RNAcentral lists this ribosomal RNA (557 nucleotides) under uncultured bacterium. Its description in RNAcentral is "bacterial SSU rRNA". It matches the Rfam family "Bacterial small subunit ribosomal RNA", at positions 102 to 694 of the family's 1533-position model. The record is from RNAcentral.